Molecule: ribosomal RNA, 495 nt
Filed under: uncultured bacterium
Lineage: Bacteria
Description: partial 16S ribosomal RNA
Rfam family: Bacterial small subunit ribosomal RNA
Source: RNAcentral
GACGAACGCUGGCGGCGUGCCUAAUACAUGCAAGUAGAACGCUGAAGGAGGAGCUUGCUUCGCUGGCUGAGUUGCGAACGGGUGAGUAACGUGUAGGUAAGCUGCGUGGUAGGGGGGGACAUCUAUUGGAAGGGAUAGAUAAUACAGCAUAAGAGUAGAUGUUGCAUGAGAUUUGUUUAAACGGUGCAAUUGAAUCACUACCAGAUGGAACUGCGUUGUAUUUGCUAGUUGGUGGGGUCACGGCUUACCAACGCGACGGAUCAUAGCCGACUUGAAGAGGGUGUCCGCCACACUGGGACUGGAACACGGCCCAGACUUCUUCGGGGGGCAACAGUAGGGGAUCUUCGGCCAUGGACGGAAGUCUUACCGCGCAACUCCGCGGGAGUGGAGGAGGUUCUCGGGACGUAAAGCUCUGUUAUAAGAGAAGAACGAGUGUGAGAGUGGAAAGUUCACACUUUGACGUUAUCUUACCAGAAAGGGACGGCUAACUUCGUG